Molecule: ribosomal RNA, 484 nt
Filed under: uncultured bacterium
Lineage: Bacteria
Description: partial 16S ribosomal RNA
Rfam family: Bacterial small subunit ribosomal RNA
Source: RNAcentral
AUUGAACGCUGGCGGCAGGCCUAACACAUGCAAGUCGAGCGGAUGAAGGGAGCUUGCUCCUGGAUUCAGCGGCGGACGGGUGAGUAAUGCCUAGGAAUCUGCCUGGUAGUGGGGGAUAACGUCCGGAAACGGGCGCUAAUACCGCAUACGUCCUGAGGGAGAAAGUGGGGGAUCUUCGGACCUCACGCUAUCAGAUGAGCCUAGGUCGGAUUAGCUAGUUGGUGGGGUAAAGGCCUACCAAGGCGACGAUCCGUAACUGGUCUGAGAGGAUGAUCAGUCACACUGGAACUGAGACACGGUCCAGACCCCUACGGGAGGCAGCAGUGGGGAAUAUUGGACAAUGGGCGAGAGCCUGAUCCAGCCAUGCCGCGUGUGUGAAGAAGGUCUUCGGAUUGUAAAGCACUUUAAGUUGGGAGGAAGGGCAGUAAGUUAAUACCUUGCUGUUUUGACGUUACCAACAGAAUAAGCACCGGCUAACUUCGUG